RNAcentral lists this ribosomal RNA (468 nucleotides) under uncultured bacterium. Its description in RNAcentral is "partial 16S ribosomal RNA". It matches the Rfam family "Bacterial small subunit ribosomal RNA", at positions 28 to 507 of the family's 1533-position model. The record is from RNAcentral.
GACGAACGCUGGCGGCGUGCUUAACACAUGCAAGUCGAACGGAAAGGCCCUGAUUUUGUGGGGUGCUCGAGUGGCGAACGGGUGCGUAACACGUGAGUAACCUGCCCUUGACUUUGGGGUAACUUCACGAAGCUGGGGCUACUACCAUAUAGGAUCCGCUGCUGCAUGGAGGGGGUUGGAAAGUUGCGGCGGGUGGGGAUGGACUCGCGGGUUAUGAGCUUGUUGGUGGGGUAGUGGCUUACCCAGGCUGUGGCGGGUAGCCGGCCUGAGAGGGUGACCGGCGACAUGGGUACUGAGAGACGGCCCAGAGGGGUACGGGAGGCAGCAGUGGGGAAUAUGGCACAAUGAGCGGAAGUCGGAGGCAGAGGCGUUGCGGUUGGGAUGACGGUCUGCUGGUUGUGAACCGCUGUCGGCUGUGACGAAGCGGGAGUGACGGUAAUGGGUGAAGAAGCACCGGCUAACUACGUG